GCUCAGGACGAACGCUGGCGGCGUGCUUAACACAUGCAAGUCGAGCGGUAAGGCCCUUCGGGGUACACGAGCGGCGAACGGGUGAGUAACACGUGAGCAACCUGCCCCUGACUCCGGGAUAAGCGGUGGAAACGCCGUCUAAUACCGGACAUGACACGCCACCUCAUGGUGGUGUGUGGAAAGUUUUUCGGUCGGGGAUGGGCUCGCGGCCUAUCAGCUUGUUGGUGGGGUAAAGGCCUACCAAGGCGAUUACGGGUAGCCGGCCUGAGAGGGCGACCGGCCACACUGGGACUGAGACACGGCCCAGACUCCUGCGGGAGGCAGCAGUGGGGAAUAUUGCGCAAUGGGCGAAAGCCUGACGCAGCGACGCCGCGUGGGGGAUGACGGCCUUCGGGUUGUAAACCUCUUUUACCACCAACGCAGGCUCCCAGUUCUCUGGGGGUUGACGGUAGGUGGGGAAUAAGGACCGGCUAACUACGUGCCAGCAGCCGCGGUAAUACGUAGGGUCCGAGCGUUGUCCGGAAUUAUUGGGCGUAAAGAGCUCGUAGGCGGCGUGUCACGUCUGCUGUGAAAGACCGGGGCUUAACUCCGGUUCUGCAGUGGAUACGGGCAUGCUAGAGGUAGGUAGGGGAGACUGGAAUUCCUGGUGUAGCGGUGAAAUGCGCAGAUAUCAGGAGGAACACCGGUGGCGAAGGCGGGUCUCUGGGCCUUACCUGACGCUGAGGAGCGAAAGCAUGGGGAGCGAACAGGAUUAGAUACCCUGGUAGUCCAUGCCGUAAACGUUGGGCGCUAGGUGUGGGGACUUUCCGCGGUUUCCGCGCCGCAGCUAACGCAUUAAGCGCCCCGCCUGGGGAGUACGGCCGCAAGGCUAAAACUCAAAGGAAUUGACGGGGGCCCGCACAAGCGGCGGAGCAUGUUGCUUAAUUCGACGCAACGCGAAGAACCUUACCAAGGUUUGACAUCGCCCGUGGACCUGUAGAGAUACAGGGUCAUUUAGUUGGUGGGUGACAGGUGGUGCAUGGCUGUCGUCAGCUCGUGUCGUGAGAUGUUGGGUUAAGUCCCGCAACGAGCGCAACCCCUAUUCUAUGUUGCCAGCACGUCAUGGUGGGGACUCAUAGGAGACUGCCGGGGUCAACUCGGAGGAAGGUGGGGACGACGUCAAGUCAUCAUGCCCCUUAUGUCUUGGGCUGCGAACAUGCUACAAUGGCCGGUACAAUGGGCGUGCGAGACCGCAAGGUGGAGCGAAUCCCUAAAAGCCAGUCUCAGUUCGGAUUGGGGUCUGCAACUCGACCCCAUGAAGGUGGAGUCGCUAGUAAUCGCGGAUCAGCAACGCCGCGGUGAAUACGUUCCCGGGCCUUGUACACACCGCCCGUCACGUCAUGAAAGUCGGCAACACCCGAAACUUGUGGCCUAACCCUUCGGGGAGGGAAUGAGUGAAGGUGGGGCUGGCGAUUGGGACGAAGUCGUAACAAGGUAACCGUA
Molecule: ribosomal RNA, 1482 nt
Filed under: Nocardiopsis sp. TFS 47
Lineage: Bacteria; Bacillati; Actinomycetota; Actinomycetes; Streptosporangiales; Nocardiopsidaceae
Description: 16S ribosomal RNA
Rfam family: Bacterial small subunit ribosomal RNA
Source: RNAcentral